CCUACGGGCGGCAGCAGUGAGGAAUAGUGGUCAAUGGGCGGGAGCCUGAACCAGCCAAGUCGCGUGAGGGAAGACGGUCCUAUGGAUUGUAAACCUCUUUAGGCGGGGAGCAAUGCCGGGCACGUGUGCCCGGAGGGAGAGAACCCGCAGAAUAAGCAUCGGCUAACUCCGUGACAGCAGCCGCGGUAAUACGUGGGAUGCGAGCGUUAUCCGGAUGUAUGGGGUUUAAAGGGUGCGGAGGCGGAUUUUUAAGUCAGCGGUAACAGGUCCGGGCUCAACCCGGGCCGGCCGUUGAAACUGGGGAUGUUGAGUGGGCGAGAAGUAUGCGGAAUGCGUGGUGUAGCGGUGAAAUGCAUAGAUAUCACGCAGAACUCCGAUUGCGAAGGCAGCAUACCGGCGCCCGACUGACGCUGAGGCACGAAAGCGUGGGGAUCGAACAGGAUUAGAUACCCGUGUAGUC
RNAcentral lists this ribosomal RNA (460 nucleotides) under uncultured bacterium. RNAcentral's name for it is "partial 16S ribosomal RNA". It matches the Rfam family "Bacterial small subunit ribosomal RNA", at positions 338 to 795 of the family's 1533-position model. The record is from RNAcentral.